RNAcentral lists this ribosomal RNA (182 nucleotides) under Candidatus Bathyarchaeota archaeon. Its description in RNAcentral is "partial 16S ribosomal RNA". It matches the Rfam family "Archaeal small subunit ribosomal RNA", at positions 489 to 671 of the family's 1478-position model. The record is from RNAcentral. Lineage: Archaea; Thermoproteati; Candidatus Bathyarchaeota.
UGGUAGGGAUGAUUAUUGGGCUUAAAGCGUCCGUAGCCGGCUUAGCAAGUCUCCGGUUAAAUUCAGCGACUUAAUCGUUGAGCCGCGGGAGAUACUACUAGGCUAGGAGGCGGGAGAGGCCGACGGUAUUCUCGGGGUAGGGGUGAAAUCCUAUAAUCCCGGGAGGACCACCAGUGGCGAAG